AUACAAGUGUAGGAGGAUGAAGUAAACAGUUAUCUCCUGAUCCUUGAUCUUAAUAGAGCAAUCCUUGAAUAUUUAAUCUAUCAGCUUGGAUUUCUUAACAAGUUUGGCUAGAGACAUGAUGUUUUCUAGUGGAACAAGUUCUUAUAUUCAUCUUGCAUGCAAAAUGUAGUGCAAUGGAUGAAUACGUAGAACUACUUUCAAUAAGCACAUUAGCUAUCAAUUUACAAAGGGGAAGGACACCUUGAAUCAUUGAUCCAAAAGCUAGAGCAGCUUGUUGAGUCAAAGCAAAGACUUGGGCUUGGUUCCUUUGAGAUCUAGUCCAUUGAUCACGAGAUGGGUGAGGUCAUUGUUACAACCAUCUUGGGCAAUCUUUCGGCAUGUGACUAAGCUGUUGAUAGAUAAAACACACUCGUUGUCCCACCAAACAAUGAGUAGAAAUGUCAUCAGUUUGCCCACAGUUAUAGCAUAUGAAAAUAACCUACUUAGGAGCAUUUGGAUUCUUCUGAGAUGGUGGUUGCCAUUGAUGCAAUCUCAGCUUCUUCGAGAGUCUUUGAUUAGUGCUGUGCAUGCAUGAACCACCUCCAACGAAGGAAAAACGAAAGGUUUUCCCUUAGUCCUUUCGGCUCAAAAGCUGCUC
This 637-nucleotide long non-coding RNA is filed under the name Musa acuminata (dwarf banana). Its description in RNAcentral is "long non-coding RNA (MACU_LNC008669)". The record is from RNAcentral. Lineage: Eukaryota; Viridiplantae; Streptophyta; Magnoliopsida; Zingiberales; Musaceae.